AUGGUGUGUAGGGGACCUGACCGGAAAUGGGAAUUUGGGGGUGGGCAGGGCAUCCCCACUCAAAGGGCGAAGUGACUAUUCUGUUAGAGAAUAAAGCCUUGGCCUUUAUAGCUUUUUCAAGGCACACUUGUGUUGGGUCUGCUGGCAUAUGGAUGUGUUCUCACUGUAGCUGUUUUGCUGUUACUGCAGAAGUCUGGACUCUCGGGAGCAAGCCUGAGGAAGCGGUCACUUGUCUUCCUUGCCUAAGAGCUGGGGGUGUUAUAUAUAUGGACCUGCAAAUCACUGCUUUAUUGGGUUUUCACCUAACUGCUCUCAUCUGCUGGCUCUUUAUUUCCCCCAUGAAAUCUUCGGUUAAUUAAAGAUCUUAAACUUUCAAAGCUGGAAGGAACCUAGUCCAGCUCCCUCCGUGUAUAAGUAGAAAAACAAUUGUGGCUGUGAGAAAUUGUGGCUUUUCCAGGGCCUCCCAGCCAGGAUACCAGUUUGAUUUUUAUUAUAUAGCUAACUGAGUAAUACUGUUACUUCGACUUUGGGGAUUUCAAAGCAUUCUAUGACUCGACUGUUUAAGAGAAUUGUAAGGCCUCACUGCACCUCAAUAGAUAAUUUUAGGAACCAUCCUGGUAGUUACAGACCAGCCGUAAGUAAAAGACUUGGUUUGUGUUGCCCUUCCUCUGCGUUUGAUUACACAGGUAAUUGUGUGAAUAGUCUCUCUAAGCUGUACACACUAGGCUUUUUUUAGCGUAAAGAUGAAAGUGCUACUUUUGGGCCAGCGAGAUAUCCAAGAUUAGCUAAUAUGGGCCAGUUUAGGUUUUAACAAGGAAAUGAUGGUUAUCUUAAUGAUAAAAAUGUGAUGACAAAAGUCCUUUUUUGAACAUGUGUUCAAGAGCAAAAGAGAAACUGUCAAACUAAUAACUCAGCUUGUUGAACAUUGCAAUUUACUGAUCCGAGAGGCUUUUAAAAAGUGAUUGCUCUGAGUCAGACUUGUGUAUUUUGGAGGUUGGCUUUGGAUCCCCCAGGGCACUUGGUUUCCAUUGAUGCUGCUUUUUUCUCUUAGGGUGACAGCCCCAUUUACAUGAUGUUACAGCAACUUGUUGCAGCUUCAGCUGCUUGAAAACGAAGGGAGACUUUGCCUCUGGAUUUCACGUGUUCUUUUGAGGAUGAGAUAUUAAUGUUGCGUGUUCUCUUGAACAUGCAUUCUAUCCCUGAGUGUUUCUGUAUGACAUGGUAUAAGAAAUACUUACCAGAGAUCAUCACUAAUGAUAUGCUUUAUAGUGUCAAAAGUGUCCUUCAGAAGUGACAGGACCUGUGAUAGUGUCGAUUCUAACGCAUGAAUCUUUCCUUUAUUUUAGCACCGUGUUUUAUGUGCCAGUAAUUUGCAGUUUAUCCUUUGUUUCUAGCUAGGCUCCAUAAAAAUACAGACUCACCAGUUCCUGCUUUGAUGUGACAUGUGACUCCCCAGAAUACAUCUUGCUUCUGUAGACCAGCUCCAACAGGAUUCCAUGGUAGCUGGAAUGUUAGGGCUCAGAUGUGUUGCUUGAAGUACCCAUGAAAGUGGUCUUUGUAGUUUUCCGCCUGACUGGACGAAGCCUCAGGAACUGAUUCCUGAGAGGAGGCUGACACUGCCCACCCCAGCUUCCAGGCCUGACUCUGCCUUUGGGCCCUUAGUGACCCCUACAGACAUCUGGUGCAACCCCUGUAGCCAGAAAGAACAAUGGUUUUCUCACAUGUUGCUCUUUCCCUAGUGGGUUAUGAGCUUCUGGAACAGAGACCCCAUGUAACUUCUGAGGGCCUUCCCCUGCCAUAGUAUGGCAUCUGGCAUGAGUGGCUGAUGGAGUUUCUCCUGGGACCAGUAAGGGGCAGGGUUUCUGGCUCACGACAUGACUUUCCCACACACCUCCACUAUCUGGACCUGGUUCUUCCAGGUUCACUCAGCAGGCUUGAGCCACUUGUCUCCCUCCUUGGCAGAUGUAGUUAGGAAGAGCAAAAUGCUCUGGCCAGUUAAGCGAACUUUCUGAGUCUCAGCAGUUCAAACAGUGUUUUGUUUUGUUCUGGUCAGGUUAUGACACCCAUACUGUGAAGGAAAGGAAAGCAAUCUGGUAUUGUAGGAGGUGGUGUGUUGUGUUGUUAAUUGUUUUAUUUUUAAGUUUUACAUAUUUUUGCAGUGAGGCAAGUUUUCUUUGAAUAAAUAAUGCUGGGAGCUUAUCACAUAGAAGGCAUUUGUGUUGUCCUCAGUACAUUCUGAAUUAUAUAGGUUUAUUUUUGUCUCUUGUAUUCACUUAUAAACAACUCAAAGGCUGCAUUUUUAGCCAACAGAAAUAGGAAGAAAGAAUUUCAGAAUUUAUUUUGUCAUUUUUCAGUAGCUUGAGUUAUAGUGAUUGUGAUAACUUAGUGAAAAAAACUGUGUAGUGAGUAAAGCUUACAUAUGGUUUAUCAUGAACAUUUUGUUGUGCCUUUUUUUUUUGCUUCUAAGCACCUUGAUAU
Long non-coding RNA from Myotis myotis, 2478 nucleotides. RefSeq lists it as uncharacterized. The record is from RefSeq and is a predicted model, not a curated record. The transcript is spliced from 3 exons. Lineage: Eukaryota; Metazoa; Chordata; Mammalia; Chiroptera; Vespertilionidae.